This 2052-nucleotide small RNA is filed under the name Cryptococcus neoformans H99. RNAcentral's name for it is "Cryptococcus neoformans var. grubii H99 hypothetical RNA". The record is from RNAcentral. Lineage: Eukaryota; Fungi; Basidiomycota; Tremellomycetes; Tremellales; Cryptococcaceae.
CUAUCCUCCAUUUCUUACUUCGUCAUUAUUUGUUCGUCUCUGUAUCGCUGAGAGUGCUGGGUACUAUCAAGUCCAGCUCGGAUGCUCCAGUAACCCUGGGAUAACUUGCUGAAGACUGGCAAAGCAGGAAGUAGUGACGUGUAACGACAAGACGCUAUCAACUUGAGUCACGAAUGGACAUAUAUAGCUAACAGGACAGAUUAUGACUGUUGGAAACGCAAAGCGGUCACAACCUUGACCUGACGCCCGAUGUUGGCCAGAAUUCACCGGACAUCUUGUCCGUUCCGUGCGACGAAAUACCACGCACAUCGUCCGCCUGAUGGAAUGCUGACUCGCUUAAUGUUACUUGGCCAUAGAGGAUUUUUCGCACGCCGUACCAACAUAACCGACUACGAGCGAAUCAAUUAAUAACUGACAGAAUGGACGGACCGUGUGUAAUAAGGAAGUGCAGCAGAGAAAAUCACCGACUUGCUGUCUCUUACCAACAUCCACCACAUAGAAUAUGGAGUAUGUAGCGAUCUUGCCUUAAGCUGAUCGUUUCUCAGUGCAAAUCAGAGCAGAAAAAAAGACAGAGAACAUAAAAGAUGGUAAGGGACACUUUUGUUCAACAAUUAGGGACUUGUUGUGUGCAGUAACUUGAUUGCAGGACGUGUACGUAUGUACAAACUGUCUCCGCAUAGGAAGAUAUGAAGAGGUCAUAGAACACCAGGUAUCAACCUAUUGGCAACAUGAACGUAACCACUAAUUCAUGGUCCUCAUAUUGUACAAAUACUUAUGGAUCCGCACUAUACAAUUUUGAUAACGGGGCUUAAAGAAUAGAAAGAAGCCCACCAAGGAGUGACUUUAGAAUAAGGCCGACGUCCUUGAGAAGGGAGUUGACGAGCUUAAGGACACCAACGACAAGGGUGUCGACACCCUUGAGGAUCAACGUGAGAGAGUCAUCAAUCUGGCAGAGAAGCUUGGAGACAGUGGUUUUGUGCGCAAUAUACGGAGGGAUGGGCUGGACAAUGUUCACGUUGACGGUCUGGAUAACGUUGGACAGGGCUUCGGCAACCUGUUUCUUGUCGGUGUCUCGACUUUCGAAAUGUCAGUGAAGGCUACUCGUAAAGGAAAGGACUACACAUACGCAAUGACGAUGUCACGACUGAAUAAAGAAACGCCAGCACUGACGCCAGCCGAAAGGUCAAUGCCGAGCUCGUUACCACACCAGUUGAACGCGUCGAUGACAACAUUGAGGCAAGCAGUAACUUCAGCCUCGGCAGAGUGGGGACCGAUAGAACCGGCGGCAGACUACCAUCUUUUAGCUGCAGCCCAAAUAGUAUAGCGAACAAACUUACAACCCUGGUUUGGAGCUCUGUGAUAACAGAAAGGACAUCCACAUCUUUCUUGGUCAAGUCUGAAGUAACAGGAGUCAAAGCAUUCUCUGCGAGAGGGGCUGCGAAAACCGACCCAAUGAAGGGAAGGGCGGCAACGAACAUGGAGGUGAAUCGCAUCUUGAUGGGGUUGUAGUUGCUUGAAUGAGUCGACAGUAAAUCAGAAGUUAAGGUGGACUUCAAUGGCUUUCAAUGAGAAAAAGAUAUUGGAUGAAGAAAGAACGAGGAAGAAGGGAAAGACGUGUCUGAGAGAGGUUUUUAUACCCGUCAAAAGGCCUCCAGGUCGAUAGGUGCAUGCGACGUUAUAGUGAGCCAAGAAAUUCGAAAGUCAGAAGUUGGAGGCCAUCCUUAUUCGCAUUGAAAAAGCUGAGCUAGGCAGCUCACGAAAGGUAUGCUGCAGAGGCCCGUGCAUUUCAUCAUUGCCUGUUAAUUCAAGAAACUGAACGGGCUGAGCAUCGGGCAUUUCUCUUGCUUCCUCCGGUGGCCCUUUAUACUAGGCCACAGCUUCUGGUCUGAAACCCAGGUCGGGGGCCUUCUGAUCCAUGUUUCUCAAACAGGCUGGUUGAGGAUAAACUGGCCGGCCGUGACGAUCACAAGUAAGCUCAGCAUGCCAUUGAAUGGGCUGCCGCCAUAUCGUGAAUGACGAGCCCUGUAUUCGGUCCCCUCUCAUGCAACAAAU